UAGGGAAUCUUCCACAAUGGACGCAAGUCUGAUGGAGCAACGCCGCGUGAGUGAAGAAGGUUUUCGGAUCGUAAAGCUCUGUUGUUGGUGAAGAAGGAUAGAGGUAGUAACUGGCCUUUAUUUGACGGUAAUCAACCAGAAAGUCACGGCUAACUACGUGCCAGCAGCCGCGGUAAUACGUAGGUGGCAAGCGUUGUCCGGAUUUAUUUGGCGUAAAGCGAGCGCAGGCGGAAGAAUAAGUCUGAUGUGAAAGCCCUCGGCUUAACCGAGGAACUGCAUCGGAAACUGUUUUUCUUGAGUGCAGAAGAGGAGAGUGGAAUUCCAUGUGUAGCGGUGGAAUGCGUAGAUAUAUGGAAGAGCACCAGUGGCGAAGGCGACUCUCUGGUCUGCAACUGACGCUGAGGCUCGAAAGCAUGGGUAGCGAACAGG
RNAcentral lists this ribosomal RNA (429 nucleotides) under bacterium. RNAcentral's name for it is "partial 16S ribosomal RNA". It matches the Rfam family "Bacterial small subunit ribosomal RNA", at positions 355 to 776 of the family's 1533-position model. The record is from RNAcentral.